RNAcentral lists this ribosomal RNA (253 nucleotides) under uncultured bacterium. RNAcentral describes it as "partial 16S ribosomal RNA". It matches the Rfam family "Bacterial small subunit ribosomal RNA", at positions 524 to 776 of the family's 1533-position model. The record is from RNAcentral. RNAcentral also lists the same sequence under 3 other names.
UACGUAUGGUGCAAGCGUUAUCCGGAUUUACUGGGUGUAAAGGGAGCGUAGGUGGCAAGGCAAGCCAGAAGUGAAAACCCGGGGCUCAACCGCGGGAUUGCUUUUGGAACUGUCAUGCUAGAGUGCAGGAGGGGUGAGCGGAAUUCCUAGUGUAGCGGUGAAAUGCGUAGAUAUUAGGAGGAACACCGGAGGCGAAGGCGGCUCACUGGACUGUAACUGACACUGAGGCUCGAAAGCGUGGGGAGCAAACAGG